GUGGGGAAUAUUGGGCAAUGGAGGCAACUCUGACCCAGCAAUGCCGCGUGAAUGAAGAAGGUCUUCGGAUUGUAAAGUUCUUUAAUCAGGGACGAAGAAAAUGACGGUACCUGAGGAAUAAGCCACGGCAAACUAUGUGCCAGCAGCCGCGGUAAUACAUAGGUGGCAAGCGUUGUCCGGAAUGACUGGGCGUAAAGGGAGCGUAGGCGGUCUGUUAAGUUGGGAGUGAAAUCCCGGGGCUCAACCCCGGAACUGCUUUCAAGACUGACGGACUUGAGUGUAAGAGGGGGAAGCGGAAUUCCUAGUGUAGCGGUGGAAUGCGUAGAUAUUAGGAGGAACACCAGUGGCGAAGGCGGCUUUCUGGAUUACAACUGACGCUGAGGCUCGAAAGCGUGGGUAGCAAACAGGAUUAGAAACCCUAGUAGUCC
This 428-nucleotide ribosomal RNA is filed under the name uncultured bacterium. RNAcentral describes it as "bacterial SSU rRNA". It matches the Rfam family "Bacterial small subunit ribosomal RNA", at positions 354 to 796 of the family's 1533-position model. The record is from RNAcentral.